AGGUGGGAAAACUGGAAAGAUUGAAUGUCCUUUGGAGUUCACAGAGGUUUGGCAGUGGGAGGAGAAAAACAAAACGAAGCAUAGUGGGAGUGUUGAACAGACUUUCCCAAGAUCCCCAGAUCCUGAAAUUCAAGAAAAUCUUUGCCAAAGUAUUAGCUGAGUGCAAGCUAAGGUAUCAAAAUAGUGAAUACACACACCAAGGAAUAAUCUUUGCAAAAAUACUUUGUCUCAAGACAAAUAGAACACAACAGACUUUAAUAAUCAAAACAGAAACACCAACAUAGAGAACCUAAGGAACGAAGAGAAUCUGAUUUCCAAAGUCACCACAUUAUAAAAAUCAAAUGCCAAUCUUCAACAACAACGAAAACAACAAAAUUCGCAAGGCACAUAAAGAAACAGGAAAAUGGCUCAUUCAAAGGAAUAAAGUGAUUAAUUGGCAUAAACUGUCCCUGAGAAAGCCCAGAUACUAAAGUGACUUGACAUUUGCUCAACUAGAUAAGAGUGUGUUUCGACAAAGAAGUAAAGGAAAUUUGGAACAUAAUAUUUUAUCUAAAGGAGAAUAUCAUCAAACAAAGAAAUUAUAUAAAAGAACCACACAAAAAUUCUGGAGCUGAAAAGUACAGCAACUGAAGUUUUUAAAAUUACUUGCAGAGAUCAACAACGGAUUUGCAGAAGAUUAGUGAACUCGAAGAUAGGAAAAUUGAAAUUAUUGAGUCUGAGGAGCAGAAAAGAAAAAGGAAUGAAUAAAAGUGAAUAGAACCUAAGGAAACUGAGGGACACCAUCAAGCAGAUCAAGGAGAAGAGAGAGGUAAAAAAGAGUAGUAAGAUAAAUAAUAGCCAAAUACCUUCCAAAUAUGAAGAAAGACAUGAAUAUACAGAUAAAAUAACCCCAACAAAUACCAAAUUGGAUAAACCCAAAAACAUCUACACCAAAGCACAUUAUAAUCAAACUGUUGAAAGCCAAACAAUGACAGAAUCUUAAAAGCAAUAACAGCAAGGCAAUUCAACAAAAUAAAAGGGAUGUUCAAUACAAGUAUCAGCCAAUUUCUCAUCAGAAGCCUGGAGGCAAGAAGGCAGAGAAAUAAUAUAUUUAAAGUGCUGAAAAAAGCCAGGCACGGUGACUCAUGCCUGUAAUCCCUGCACUUUGGGAGUCUGAGAUGGGUGAAUCACUUGAGUCAGGAGUUUGAGACCAGCCUGGCGACCAUGGCAAAACUCUGUCUCUACUAAAGAUAGAAAAAUUAGUCGGGUGCAGUGGCGUGCACCUGUAGUACCAGUUACUUGGGAGGCUGAGGCAGGAGAAUCACUUGAAUCUGGGAGGCAGAGGUUGCAGUGAGCUGAGAUCAUACCACUGCACUCCAGCCUGGGCAACAGAGUGAGACUCC
This 1382-nucleotide long non-coding RNA is filed under the name Pan troglodytes (chimpanzee). RNAcentral describes it as "lincRNA". The record is from RNAcentral. Lineage: Eukaryota; Metazoa; Chordata; Mammalia; Primates; Hominidae.